This 204-nucleotide microRNA precursor is filed under the name Oryza brachyantha (malo sina). RNAcentral describes it as "MIR812 microRNA precursor family". It matches the Rfam family "MIR812 microRNA precursor family". Lineage: Eukaryota; Viridiplantae; Streptophyta; Magnoliopsida; Poales; Poaceae. The record is from Rfam by way of RNAcentral.
AAUAAAUCAUUUUUUCAGUUUUCGGAAAGAAUUUUUAACUCUUCGUCUUAUUUCAAAAAAUUUAUAAUUAAUAUUGUUAUUGUUAUUACAUGAUAAAAUAUAAAUAGUGCUUUAUGUGCGACUAUUUUUUUAAUUUUUUAAUAAAUUUUUCAAAUAAGACGAAUGGUCAAACGCUCAACACAAAGCUCGGAAAUUUCGUUUAUU